This 2752-nucleotide ribosomal RNA is filed under the name Haloarcula onubensis. RNAcentral's name for it is "partial 23S ribosomal RNA". It matches the Rfam family "Archaeal large subunit ribosomal RNA". Lineage: Archaea; Methanobacteriati; Methanobacteriota; Halobacteria; Halobacteriales; Haloarculaceae. The record is from RNAcentral.
ACGACCAAUGUGGUGUUCGGGCAGAUUCUCAGCAGCGGACCAUCUCACAGAAGUCCCUUGGAACAGGGCGUGAUACAGGGUGACAACCCCGUACGUGAGGUCAGUACGCUGUGCAUCUGUUCCAGAGUAGCGGGGGUUGGAAAUCCCUCGCCAACAACGCAGGCAUCGACUGCGAAGGCUAAACACUCCUCGAGACCGAUAGUGCACAAGUAGUGUGAACGAACGCUGCAAAGUACCCUCAGAAGGGAGGUGAAAUAGAGCAUGAACUCAGUUGGCGAUGGAGCGAUAGGGCAUACAAGGUCCGUAGACGAAUGACCGAGACGCGAGUCUCCUGUAAGACUCUACGGAAGCCGAUGUUCUAUCGUACGUUUUGAAAAACGAGCCAGGGAGUGUGUCUACAUGGCAAGUCUAACCCGAGCAUCGGGGGAGGCACAGGGAAACCGACAUGGCCGCAGCCUCACGGCGAGGGCCGCCGUCUUCAAGGGCGGGGAGCCACGUGGACACGACCCGAAUCCGGACGAUCUACGCAUGGACAAGGUGAAGCGUGCCGAAAGGCACGUGGAGGCCUGUUAGAGUUGGUGUCCUACAAUACCCUCUCGUGAUCUAUGUGUAGGGGUGAAAGGCCCAUCGAGUCCGGCAACAGCUGGUUCCAAUCGAAACAUGUCGAAGCAUGACCUCCGCCGAGGUAGUUCGUGGGGUAGAGCGACCGAUUGGUGUGACCGCCUCCGAGAGGAGUCGGCACACCUGUCAAACUCCAAACCUACGAACGCCGCUUGACGCGGGGAUUCCGGUGUGCGGGGUAAGCCUGUGCACCAGGAGGGGAACAACCCAGAGAUAGGUUAAGGUCCCCAAGUGUGGAUUAAGUGUAAUCCUCUGAAGGUGGUCUCGAGCCCUAGACAGCCGGGAGGUGAGCUUAGAAGCAGCUACCCUCUAAGAAAAGCGUAACAGCUUACCGGCCGAGGUUUGAGGCGCCCAAAAUGAUCGGGACUCAAAUCCACCACCGAGACCUAUCCGUACCACUCAUCUGGUAAUCGAGUAGAUUGGCGCUCUAAUUGGAUGGAAGCAGGGGUGAGAACUCCUGUGGACCGAUUAGUGACGAAAAUCCUGGCCAUAGUAGCAGCGAUAGUCGGGUGAGAACCCCGACGGCCUAAUGGAUAAGGGUUCCUCAGCACUGCUGAUCAGCUGAGGGUUAGCCGGUCCUAAGUCUCNNNNNNNNNNNNNNNNNNNNNNNNNNNNNNNNNNNNNNNNNNNNNNNNNNNNNNNNNNNNNNNNNNNNNNNNNNNNNNNNNNNNNNNNNNNNNNNNNAGACGAAAUGGGAAACGGGUUAAUAUUCCCGUGCUAUCAUACACUCAAAGCUGACGCCCUGGGGUCGACCAAGCUGGGCUAUCGCCCAGUCGAACCGUCCAACUCCGUGGAAGCCGUAACGGCACGAAGCGGACGAACGGCGGGAUAGAGAAAUUUGGUUCAACCUGGGGCCCGUGAAAAGGCGAGUAUGAUAUCCGUACCGAGAACCGACACAGGUGUCCAUGGCGGCGAAAGCCAAGGCCUGUCGGGAGCAACCGACGUUAGGGAAUUCGGCAAGUUAGUCCCGUACCUUCGGAAUAAGGGAUGCCUGCUCCGGAACGGAGCAGGUCGCAGUGACUCGGAAGCUCGGACUGUCUAGUAACAACACAGGUGACUGCAAAUCCGCAAGGACUCGUACAGUCACUGAAUCCUGCCCAGUGCAGGUAUCUGAACACCUCGUACAAGAGGACGAAGGACCUGUCAACGGCGGGGGUAACUAUGACCCUCUUAAGGUAGCGUAGUACCUUGCCGCAUCAGUAGCGGCUUGCAUGAAUGGAUUAACCAGAGCUUCACUGUCCCAACGUUGGGCCCGGUGAACUGUACAUUCCAGUGCGGAGUCUGGAGACACCCAGGGGGAAGCGAAGACCCUAUGGAGCUUUACUGCAGGCUGUCGCUGAGACGUGGUCGCCGAUGUGCAGCAUAGGUAGGAGACAUUACACAGGUACCCGCGCUAGCGGGCCACCGAGUCAACAGUGAAAUACUACCCGUCGGUGACUGCGACUCUCACUCCGGGAGGAGGACACCGGUAGCCGGGCAGUUUGACUGGGGCGGUACGCGCUCGAAAAGAUAUCGAGCGCGCCCUAAGGUCAUCUCAGCCGGGACAGAGACCCGGCGAAGAGUGCAAGAGCAAAAGAUGACUUGACAGUGUUCUUCCCAACGAGGAACGCUGACGCGAAAGCGUGGUCUAGCGAACCAAUUAGCCUGCUUGAUGCGGGCAAUUGAUGACAGAAAAGCUACCCUAGGGAUAACAGAGUCGUCACUCGCAAGAGCACAUAUCGACCGAGUGGCUUGCUACCUCGAUGUCGGUUCCCUCCAUCCUGCCCGUGCAGAAGCGGGCAAGGGUGAGGUUGUUCGCCUAUUAAAGGAGGUCGUGAGCUGGGUUUAGACCGUCGUGAGACAGGUCGGCUGCUAUCUACUGGGUGUGUUAUGGUGUCUGACAAGAACGAUCGUAUAGUACGAGAGGAACUACGAUUGGCUGCCACUGGUGUACCGGUUGUCCGAGAGGGCACGUGCCGGGUAGCCACGCAGCACGGGGUAAGAGCUGAACGCAUCUAAGCUCGAAACCCACUUGGAAAAGAGACACCGCCGAGAGUCCGCGUAGAAGACGCGGUCGAUAGACUCGGGGUGUGCGCGUCGAGGUAACGAGACGUUCAGCCCACGAGCACUAACAACUCGAAGCCAUCAUUCA